AUCCUACUUGAGUGGAUAUCGGUAGAGGCCAGACGACUGUGUGGCUAAUUUUGAACCUCGGGCAUUGCUGCGAUCAUCUACAGGGUAAUCUAGUUACCCUAGAGGUAUUUCUCUAAUCCUCAAGUUUUAGAUUUAAUUUUAGAUUAAAUAUCAGAUAAUAAGAAUCAAAUCUAAUAGAUCUUAAAGCUGAAAUAUUGUAGGAUAACUUUUUUUUUAAAUAUUCCACCCCAGAUCUCAUUAGAUCUGGAAGAUCCUACAGGGAAAAAGCCGAUUUUUCCCUUCAUCUUGUUCACAUGACCAAGCCUACAAUGUCAAAGGUAGGAUUCGCUGAUAUUAUCUAUUUUGAGAUAUUUACUAGGUGUGUAUAUUACACUAACAGGCCGUG
This 385-nucleotide long non-coding RNA is filed under the name Elaeis guineensis (African oil palm). Its description in RNAcentral is "long non-coding RNA (EGUI_LNC074832)". Lineage: Eukaryota; Viridiplantae; Streptophyta; Magnoliopsida; Arecales; Arecaceae. The record is from RNAcentral.